UACGUAGGGGGCAAGCGUUGUCCGGAUUUAUUGGGCGUAAAGAGCGUGUAGGCGGCCAGACAGGUCCGUUGUGAAAACUCGAGGCUCAACCUCGAGAUGUCGAUGGAAACCGUCUGGCUAGAGUCCGGAAGAGGAGUGUGGAAUUCCUGGUGUAGCGGUGAAAUGCGUAGAUAUCGGAAAGAACAUCAGUGGCGAAGGCGGCUUCCUGGACUCAUACUGACGCUGAGGCACGAAAGCAUGGGGAGCAAACAGG
Molecule: ribosomal RNA, 253 nt
Filed under: uncultured bacterium
Lineage: Bacteria
Description: partial 16S ribosomal RNA
Rfam family: Bacterial small subunit ribosomal RNA
Source: RNAcentral